Molecule: non-coding RNA, 587 nt
Organism: Doryrhamphus excisus (bluestripe pipefish)
Lineage: Eukaryota; Metazoa; Chordata; Actinopteri; Syngnathiformes; Syngnathidae
Source: RefSeq, a predicted model, not a curated record
AGAAGAUCACUAAGCCCGCGAAAGUUGGCUCGUGGAAAAAAUUGCCAUACUCUGCGGCAGCAAGCCACGGACCAGUCACCGAAAAAGUUCACCGUCUACAUCAUACAUAUUCAGAAGGCUCUAUAGAUUAGGUGCAGGGAAUGUGGAGUUGUAAGGGGUGCACAGAAACUGUAGCAAGUAGGUCCAAGCUUUUGCACCACUACAAGUUAAGGCAUCCACAUUUUGGGCGUAGUUCUCGCUAUCCAUGUACAUACCAGCAUUGUCCAUGCACAUUUAAGACGUGGAAUGCCUUAAUUGUCCACCAAAGUAAAAUCCACACCACAGGUGUCACUCACAAAAAAGAAGCAAUAUUCAGUUGUCACAUUUGUAGUUGUAGUGAUUUUGCAUCAGAGAAGGAUUAUUUUUCUCAUAUAAAUGCCCAUCUCAAACGAAACGAGACGGUCAUUUGUAUGUUUUUAGGCUGUGAUUUUAAGACAAACAUUUAUUGUACUUUUAAAUCACACAAAAAUCGAAAACACCGCCAUCACACAUUGGUUGAUUUUAAACCAGAAGUAGUCAUAACUACAAGGAUAUCAUUUGUGAAUAAA